GUGACGGAGCCCGGCUUCCCUGGGGAUGGCCGAACACCUGCCUGCCCGUGGGAGUGGUGAAUAGAUUCCUUGCUCUGCUUUGCUUGUGUGUGCGGCUUUUGCUUUACCCUUUUCACCCACCUUUCCAUUUUGUUAUUAUUAUUGUUGUUAUUAUUAUUGCUAUUGUUAUUGUUGUUGUUCUUAGCUCUUUAUUCUGUUUAAAUUAUUAAAUUGUUCUUAUCUCGACCCUUGACUUUUACAUUUCUUUUCUGACUCUCCCCCCCAUCCCUCUGAGUGAGGGGGAGUGAGCAACUGACUGCAUGGUGCUGGGUUGCUGGCCAGGGGCUGGGGUUAAACCACGACAGCAUGUCCCUAUGGGGCAACCCCUCCCCAGUGAAAGCUUGCAGGACAGGUUUCUCAAGACAAAAUUUUAUCUAUGGAGAUGCCAAAAAACUCACUUAAAAAUAUCCCCUAUACCCAUAACCAAAUUCUAUUCCAUUUAUGUCCCAUCCUAAAAAAAUAAAUAGCAUUUUUGUAGGUUAACAUCUAAAGAAGAAAUGAAAUAACAAUCACCUAUUUUUGUAGGGUAGAGCAGACAAAGUGGAAGAAAUGAACAAGCAAUGUCUUGUUACUUCAGCUGCUGUAUCCAUCCUUUUGCUUAUGUUUUAUCAUCUUACUCUGCAUCUUAAUCUAGUAUAUGAAGAAGCUGCAAAUGCAAGAAAUUAAGAUCAGUUUUGUCCCAUCUUCAUCUAGGCUGGCUUUUGUCAUUUCUUGUCAGGUCCAAUGAAGUCAGGCUGAGCUUCAUAAUCUUAUCAAAACAACUUUGACUUAGAGAAAUGAUCAUCGGAGGUAAACCAGGAGCUGAUGAGUCACUCAAGCAUCUAAAUGUUGUUCAUUUGAAAAACGAGAAGUGAUGACACAGAGCUGAAGUGGAACAGAACCUGAAAUUGCAGAUCUUCCACAUUGGCCUUCUUCAAGAGAUGAGGCAUGUUUAUUCUCACUUGGAGUCUCAAAAAUAGGACAAUGUCUUUGCAAAAUACUUGAUGUGACUUUUCCACAGUUGAUGGGCAAAAGCUGCUGUGCACUGCAUUCCUUGUUGGCUUAUAUCACAAGAAGAUGGUUAAAUUGGUAGAUCAUGAAUUAGCAAAGCAAAGCUCUUCUACCACUGUCGUAAACUACCUGUGGCAGCACAGGCAAUCCAACAGAUGAGGCCAGUUUGCAAAGCAAGCACCUCUCACUGCUAGAAAUGGUAAUUACAGAAAGGACUUUCAAGGUAAUUUUGUGGGUGCCCUAUUCCCACUGGAUUUCAGCGGGAUUUGGGUGUUUUGUUCUAUUUGGGAACCUGAAGUGAGCGCAUGGGACAAAAUAAGUUGCUGAUGAUGAAUGGUCAGCCUUCUUCCCAUUACAGAGCCAUGCCUGUUGCAUGCUCUUUCGUUAAUGCAACUGUUAAAAAUGGCUGGAAUCCACUACUGUAGUUAGUGUUGAAAAGAAAUAGAGAAGAAAAUAUGGUUUGAAGUAAUUAAAACAAGCAGCAUUAGAAAAAAAUCCAGAUCUGUGUUAGUCUGUCUUAGCAUCACUUGUUUGAAGAGACAAAUAAAAUAUGGUAAAACAUUACUCAUUUAAAUAGCUUUGAAAAAUGUGUUCUGCAUUCUCCUCUGUAUCUUGCACAGAGAUGAACAGAUUAUAACUAAACUUUUACUGAAGGAGAUUACAUUAGACUUCUAGUAUUCUUGUGGUCCGAGUAAAGUAUGUAAAUAAUAAUUGAAAUACUAAACAUUGAAAUGGUAAGGUUUCAUUUUGGAGUUGGAUUUGGUUGCAACUUUUGCCUUCCAGAAUAUGCCCAGAUGGUUAUUCCUUCAAAAAGCAAGGAAGUACCUGAAGGUCCUCACUUGGUACAUGAAGGUACCUGCACUUCGUAGCAGCUCCAGAAAAUUUUUUAUUAAGCUUCAGCCUCCAAACUCAUUUUACAUAUGUACUAAUCUGAAACUGAACUAAUUGACCAGUGCUUCUCCCACAUAACCAGGUGUGCAUGUCUUUCCUGAGAAAUUUGGAAAGCAUACCCAUACCCCACUGAAUAUUCUGUUGAUAUCAAACUGUAACAGAGUAAAAGAGGAUUCCGUCCCUAAACAAAUACAAAA
Long non-coding RNA from Falco peregrinus (peregrine falcon), 2117 nucleotides. RefSeq lists it as uncharacterized. The record is from RefSeq and is a predicted model, not a curated record. The transcript has 4 exons. Lineage: Eukaryota; Metazoa; Chordata; Aves; Falconiformes; Falconidae.